Lactuca sativa (garden lettuce) is the source of this 992-nucleotide non-coding RNA. The record is from RefSeq and is a predicted model, not a curated record. Lineage: Eukaryota; Viridiplantae; Streptophyta; Magnoliopsida; Asterales; Asteraceae.
UGUAAUAAUAAAUCUCAUGGAGGGACCGUUUUUGUUUAAUGGCCCAAAGUUAAAAGAAAUUAGGGCUUUUUGUGCCCGUUUCCUUUUGUUGAUCGGGCAAAGGAAAGGAACGAGAACGAACGAAGGCAGGCGAUCAUGCGCCCCCGGUGCUGGCUCGAUUCGGGGAAAGAGAAAAUUGGAAACGGAAGGGGGUGGUCUCGGUGGUGGUAAGCGAUCGAAUUGAGGGAUCUUUUCCGGUGUUUGGCCGAACCGAAGAAGGGGAAGAGACGAAAGCAGCGAGGCUCUCUCUUUCUUGUCCGACUGCGAGGUGCGAAGGAAGAAGGAGGCCGAAGGGAGUCCGGUAUGGUGUCGCGAGCAACAGCAGCAACGAAGACGAGGUCUUCAGAGGUCGUUGAUUCGAUAGGGACAAAAGAGAGAAUGCGAAGGGAGGAGAUCAGAAGAAGGUUCUAGUGGAGGUAGGCAGCAGCGAGGGUCAAUGGGAAAGUAAGGGAAAACGCGUCGGAGCUAGUAUUCGUCGAUGGUGGAACAUAUAAAGAAGAAAUAAUCAGUGGGUGUUUGGCUGUGGUUUUGAUGGGGAGAACGAAGAAGAAGACGGGUGAAGUAAAAGAGGCAUCUGCCUCCUGUUGACUUUCUCGAAGACAGCCUCUCCUUGAGGCUGUUUUACUUCUUGAUGGCAACAGCAAAAAUCAAAUGGAAGGAAGGUGUUUGGAGCUCGUUUAUCUCGUCACUAGCAGGUGGAAAGAAGCUGGAAUGAAAGGGGCAACAGCCUCCCUUUUGGGUUCUCGGUUUAUGAUUCCAAGAGGAGAAUGGAGAGAGAUGGAAGGCGAUGGAUGUUUUUUUUUUUAUUGAGUGUGUUUUCUUUGAUUGAGUUUACUAGUUAAACUAGAUUAUCACCAGAUUAUGACCCGCGUUAAACGCGGGGAAGACAUAAAUAAAAUAUAAAUUUAUAUAGAUAUUACAAAAUAAUUAUAAAAAAAGUAGGAUUAUUGGUA